RNAcentral lists this ribosomal RNA (423 nucleotides) under Metamycoplasma canadense. RNAcentral's name for it is "bacterial SSU rRNA". It matches the Rfam family "Bacterial small subunit ribosomal RNA", at positions 368 to 785 of the family's 1533-position model. Lineage: Bacteria; Bacillati; Mycoplasmatota; Mycoplasmoidales; Metamycoplasmataceae. The record is from RNAcentral.
GACAUGAGCGAGCUUGAUGGAGCGACACAGCGUGCACGAUGAAGGUCUUCGGAUUGUAAAGUGCUGUUAUACGGGAAAGAACACUUGGUUGAGGAAAUGCUUCCAAGCUGACGGUACCCUGUCAGAAAGCGAUGGCUAACUAUGUGCCAGCAGCCGCGGUAAUACAUAGGUCGCAAGCGUUAUCCGGAAUUAUUGGGCGUAAAGCGUUCGUAGGCUGUUUAUUAAGUCUGGAGGUCAAAUACCAGGGCUCAACCCUGGCUCGCUUUGGAUACUGGUAAACUAAAGUUAGAUAGAGGUAAGCGGAUUCCAAUGUGAAGCGGUGAAAUGCCGUUAAUAAUAUGGAACAACACCAAAGGCGAAGGAGGUACCUUGGUCUAUACUGACCGCUGAGGUAUGAAGGCGUGGGAUCAAACUGAUAGAUUC